CCAAUAGCGUAUAUUAAAGUUGCUGCAGUUAAAAAGCUCGUAGUUGAAUUUCGGGAUCAAUAUGUCGGUCGUGCCUUCGGUACGUACUGGCGUCAUUGGUUUCUCCCUUCUGAUGAACCAUGAUGUCAUUAAUUUGGUGUUGUGGGGAAUCAGGACUGUACUUUGAAAAAAUUAGAGUGUUUAAAGCAGGCUCACGCUUGAAUACAUUAGCAUGGAAUAAUGAAAUAGGACGUUUGAUUCUAUUUUGUUGGUUUCUAGGAUCGACGUAAUGAUUAAUAGGGAUAGUUGGGGGCAUUAGUAUUCAAUUGUCAGAGGUGAAAUUCUUGGAUUUAUUGAAGACUAACUACUGCGAAAGCAUUUGCCAAGGAUGUUUUCAUUAAUCAAGAACGAAAGUUAGGGGAUCGAAGACGAUCAGAUACCGUCGUAGUCUUAACCAUAAACUAUGCCGACUAGGGAUCGGAUGAUGUUAAUUUUUUAAUGACUCAUUCGGCGCCUUACG
Molecule: ribosomal RNA, 499 nt
Filed under: uncultured Glomeromycotina
Lineage: Eukaryota; Fungi; Glomeromycota
Description: partial small subunit ribosomal RNA
Rfam family: Eukaryotic small subunit ribosomal RNA
Source: RNAcentral